Molecule: transfer RNA, 69 nt
Filed under: Nilssonia formosa
Lineage: Eukaryota; Metazoa; Chordata; Testudines; Trionychidae
Description: tRNA-Tyr
Rfam family: tRNA
About the family: Transfer RNA (tRNA) molecules are approximately 80 nucleotides in length. Their secondary structure includes four short double-helical elements and three loops (D, anti-codon, and T loops).
Source: RNAcentral
GGUAAGAUGGCUGAAGUUAAGCGUUAGGCUGUAAACCUUUUUACAGGGGUUCAAUUCCCCUUCUUAUCA